This is a long non-coding RNA of Gasterosteus aculeatus aculeatus (three-spined stickleback), 13629 nucleotides long. Lineage: Eukaryota; Metazoa; Chordata; Actinopteri; Perciformes; Gasterosteidae. The record is from Ensembl.
UUAUACUCUGUCCUGCUUUACAUGAGAGUAUAAUUUCAUCAACAUAUUUCCAAAAACAAAAUUACAUGUGGCCUUACAGCUACAGAGAACUGUUUUUUGGAUAUGCCAACGUUUUCCAAAAAAAAAACCUAAUCAGCAUUUAAUCCGAUUAGAAAGUUCUCAUUUCCCUGUGCUGUGUGAAACCGCCCUCUUUGAAAGAUAUCAACCGAUGAACUUCAUAUGCUUUUGAGUUGAGAAAUAACAAAUAACUAUCGAACCUCAAUCAAUGCAACGUACGUUAUAGCAAUCUCCAUCUUACUGUAGUGUGCACACACAAACCCGUUAUUUCUCUGAUUGAUACAAUUGUAUUCAGACACACACAUGGGAUGUUUCUAUGAACGAUAGGAAGCCAGAUGUUUGGACAAUGAGCAGCGAAAGCAGCAAGAAAGUACUUUUUUUUACACUGAGUAAACGGAUUUGUCCCUCAGCACCCUGUCGUACAAGCAGAGAUACAAGCCCAGCAAUUAUUGUGACAAUGCUGUGCACACACACAUCUGUUUAACUUUACCUUUGAGGCCAUGUGCACACAGUAUAAGCAGGAAGCUGAGUAGCAAUGGAUGGCAUGCAAAAGGAAUCCAUUAAAACCCAGAUGUUUUGAUAAAGAGAUAGAAAGUCGUGCUGGGUUCAAUUCUAAAAUAAAUUACAACUACAAUACAUGUAAGCGCAGCCAUUUCAUACUAAUAGAGCAGCGAAAGCUAGCACAUUCAUACCAGUAAAAUACAGCCUAAAAAGAUUAUCUGAUAUUGUAAGACUCACAUCACAAACACGUGUUAACUCCAGUGAGAACUAUAUUACAAUUUUAAAAAGACAACGUUCACAAUGUCAUCACUCACUACAUUGCAGUGUUGGGAGUGCUGCUGUUAAAUCACACUCUCUGGACAAAAACAAAGGAGGAAAGAAAAUUGAGGGAACCAUAUUGCAUUCAAUUCGCAGAAUUAACAAGAUACGUCAAGAAUCGGCAGAAUUUCUCAAUUGGUUUCAUUAAUAAAAGCAUCUCCAUUCCGUUUAUUUUAAUCCAGCACUGAGAAACCAAUGAAGAAUAACGUUACUGCUACAGAGAGCUUCUUAAAUCCCGUCAUGCAGCCUGUAUUUCCUGGAUUCAGAUGCAUUGUCUUCUAUCUGUAAAGCAGGCCAUUUGGGUUCAUCUGAUUCUGCAGAAACAGCACAAUGUCUAGCAGAACCCAGAGUGGGUUCAUGUCUGAACCAUGCACUGUAAAUAAGAUCAGAAAAGUCUCCACAAAGUCAACAAACUAAAACUAAAACUAACUAUACUAUACAGGUAGUAGAGCAUGGUUGCCCUUUAAUCAAAGGUUUGAUCAUAUUGGUGUUCUUAGGCCAGAUACUGUGUGCCAACUAGAAAAUGCAAUUCCUGCUGAAAAUGCGUUGGAAUGCAAAAAGCUGAAAGCUGAAAUGAAUUUUUAAAAAUAGCUGAAAAUACAGAAAGUUGAAGGGAAUUUGAAUACAUUUGCUGAAAUUACAGAUAUUAGAAAAGCUGAAAUUAAUUUGAAAUUGCUGAAAAUACAGAAAUGGGAGAAGCUGAAAGGAAUUUCAAUACAUUUGCUGAAAAAGCAGAAUAUUAAAACAUUGCUGUUAAUACAGGCAUAAGAAAAGCUGAAAUUAUUUUAAAGAACUGCUGAAAAUACAGGAAGUGGGGAAGCUGUAUUUCAAUAGAUUUUCUAAAAAAUACAGUUGCAGGAGCUUAAAUGAAUUUAAAAAGUACAGAAAUAACAAAAACUGAGAUGAAUAAAAAGAGGUUUAAAAUUGUUUGUAGUAAUAUUAGUAGUAGUAUUAGUUAUAAUUGUGGUAUUAGUAGUACUAGCUGUAGAAGUAGGUUUAGUAUCAAUAGCAGUAGAAACAGCUGUAAUACUAAUACUAUUAGCCAUAGUAGUAUUUGUAAUAACAUUAGUAGUAGUUGUAGUAUUAAUAGCAGUAGAAAUACUAGUAGUAUGGUAGUAGAAGUAUCAGUUGUAGUACUACUAGAAGUACUAGUAAUAUUCUUAGUGGUUGUAGUGGUAUUUGAAAGAGCAAUACGUAUUUCAAAGAAACCGCUUCAUUCUGAGCUUCAUGGUUAAGGUACAGAUAAUCAUUGUGGCUUUUAUUUUAAAACAAUGGAAUUGGGUGAGGGGGGCUUGGGAGACAUAAUGUUUGUUAUUCAAACUAAGAAGUUAUUAAUCAAUAGGCCUCAUCACAAACAUUACAGUAAGAAUUCCCUCCAUGGGGCUUUUAUUUUGAAAUUAUUGGAUUGGGUGGGGUGGGGGGUGUAGAUAGAGGGAGGGAGGGUAAGGAAGGGAGGGGUAGUGAGGAAGAGAUAGAGAUAGAGAGGAGGAGAAUUAGACAGACAGACUGACUGACUGAGUGAUUAACAGUGAGAAGAGGUCAGGGGGGAGUGGGGAGGGGGGGGCGAGUGUCUUCAUCAUGUUGGUCUGUUGACAGAAAGCAUAGCUGCGUCGUGUGACUCCACUAAUCAGGUCAUAGGAGCAGCUGUGAGUCACAGACAGAGAUACUGCAGCAUGUGUGCGAGUAUCCACGGCAACAGCGCACCUAUUGGAUUGGGUGGGGUGUAGAUAGAGGGAGGGAGGGUGAGAGGGUGAGGAAGGGAUAGAGAGGGAGAGGGGAGGAGAAUUAGACAGACAGACUGACUGAGUGAAUGAUUAACAGUGAGAAGAGGUCAGGGGGGAGGGGGGGCGAGUGUCUUCAUCAUGUUGGUCUGUUGACAGAAAGCAUAGCUGCGUCAUGUGACUCCACUAAUCAGGUAAUAGGAGCAGCUGUGAGUCACAGACAGAGAUACUGCAGCAUGUGUGAGUUUCCACGACAACGGUGCACCUGGGUUCAUUAACGAGCUGCUGAACAGGGCAGAGACAGGACAGCGAGUUACACAGAAUCCACACCUCAAACAAGUGUCCUUUAGCGCAAAACUAUAACACCUAUCUAAAAAAUAAGACGUUUCUGCGAGACCCAAGACUCUACCGAACGCAUGGAUGUGUUUUUUAUGUCUGUUCGGUAAUAAAUACGGCUCCUGUCGCAGUUUAAAAAAACAUGUACCUUCUGGAUUUUUUGAGAAAUAUGUCGCCAGAUUUGUAUUGGAGCCUAUGGGGCUUUUGGCAGAGGUUGUGUCACUUUAACACUCAUUAAGCCAAAACUAAAGAACUCUGGGAUUCCAUAAUCCAUAUAUAAUCCAAUCAGCACAACCAUGCCAUCAUUAAUCCAAAGAAAUGAAGCAUCAAAAGUGUAUACUUUGGCUCUGAGGACAGAAUUUCCAUAUUUCUUUACCAGAUUCUGACGCUGCCCCACACUCUAGCCCUCGAGGUCUCACUCUAAGAGACGCAAUACACACUCAUGUAAAACUCAGAAACGGAGCAAAGAACUAGUGAAACAUAAUCAGUGAUUAUGAAAAAAGUAGAAUAGAUAUCAACAAGCUGUUUUUUUUCAUAAAAUAGUUGAGACUUGUGUCAACAUUUGAAAGUUGAAAUAGUGUCUGUAGCUGAAAGAUUGGCGAAGCUGAAGAAUCUGAAAGUUGAAGAAGUUUAAGAGGAUUUGAAAACCAUGUUAAAAUAUUAAUGAUUAUUGAUUUAUAUAAAUUCAAGCUUAAGAGCUGGAAAGCUGAAAAGUCUUAGCACCCCUCCUGGGAAAGAGCUGAAUAUUUUAACAUUUGAAUGGUUUUAAUAGCUGAAAGAAGUUGAAAGGUGGCGCGGAGGAAAUAGAAUAAGUUGAAUAAAGAUUCGAAGAACAAUACUUGGAAUGCUUAAUGCAUUCCAACAAUAAUCAUGGUCCAACGGGAUGUGUUAGCAACAGUAGUGACUACAUCACUGCAAACCACCAGAGGCGCCGGCUCAGCCCCCGCCAUAGCCCCACCCCCCCACCUCAAGGGCCGGAUCCCAGACGGCCCUGAAAUCACCAACGGGAGGGUGGGAGAGGACCACGGGAUGGGAGGGAGGGAGCCUGAGUCGGGGAGCAGGGACUGGAAGCGUCGGGGUCAGGAGUCUCGGGGGCCAGGACGGGCAGAGUCGGGAGUCUCGGGGCUGUAACUGGAGGGGUCGGGGGAACGAGUCUCGGGGCCGGAACUGGAGGGGUCGGGGGAACGAGUCUCGGGGCCGGGACUGGAGCGAUCGGGGGAACGAGUCUCGGGGCCGGGACUGGAGGGAUCGGGGGAACGAGUCUCGGGGCCGGAUCGGGAGGUCGCUGCGGACCAGACAGGGUACACAAAAACAUAUAUAUAUAUAUAUAUAUGGAUAUAUAUAUGGAUACACAUACAUAUAUACAUACCCAUAGGCACAAAGAGAAAUGGGGGGAGGGAAAGAAGAGAGAAAAUAAAAAAUAAAGGGGGGGUGAAAAGGGUCUGGAUGGCUCUGUACUUUCUAUAACGAAAUUAAUCCUGAGUCAACUUCAGGACGCCAUCUUCGCCGACACGUCUGACAACAGGCGCACCUUCUCCAGCCUCUUCCAGUUUUCCAACUGUACCCAAGGGAGCCAUUCUUUCCACGUCUUCAGUCCGGAGUGGGACACACAGGAGGACAACAGGGUACGAUAUAUUGUUUCCACAGCAUCACAUGCAACAUAACAUUUUCAAUAUGUAGCCUCUGAAAGCCUGCAAAAUAACAACAACAUAUGGCUACUGUUUACAAAUCAAGGAAUAAAUGUAUAGAAACAGAAUCUGCUGCUUGUUGGUCUUGUUUCUGUCGAGCCAAAUUUUACAUUUUAUUUCCAACCACAAAAAGACAGCAGGCCUAGAAACUGUGCUCAGUACUGUUGACAGCGAUAUACCUCUGCACACAACAAACAGUCCAUCAAUGAGCAAAGAAAGAAAAAUAAUGAUGCUUGAAAACAUGAUUUGAAGAUCAGCCGACAAUUUAGGCAGAAUAUUAACACCUCCUCUUGUCAUGUGUUCAUCUACAGCUGUCAGCCUAUUGGAAAUGAAGUUGUGUGUUUCUUUUAGUUUGCAGUGAUUAGUGUGUUGUGUUAUUUUAUCGUACCUUAUUUUACCUGCAUGCUUGUAGUUGUAAGGACUGUUGUCCCUUAUGUAAACUUCCUUUAGAUGACAAAAUAACUCUAUUGCUUCCACCUGGAAAUACUUGAUAAUCAAUUGGCGAACCAGGUGCAAUGCGGAGUUUGGCUGAUUGGUGGAGUUUAAAAGAGCUAACGACUGCCACUGAUAUAAGAGGGGCCAUACGGCUGACACCUCGUCUUUCUGGCAGGACGCUCAGUGACAUGGAAGGCCGCUCGGGUUCGCCAAAUAGAUUAAACAUUCCACAGAGUAGUGCACCUCUAACUCCGGCUUCACCCUUAACUAUGCCUUAGUUUUUUAGCGCCCCCUGGCUUCCAAAAUUCAAUGGUGAGCGGCGGCGGUUUGCGGAAUGGCGUGCGCAGGUGCAGGCUAUGCUGCGUGCACAACCACUCUCCGACGAACAGCAAGCCGACUUCAUCUUCAGCGCCUUAGAAGGAGAAGCCCGUCGUGAAGUGGCACUAUUGGAUGCAACACAACGCAGCACGGGCAACCACAUCCUUUCCGCCCUAAAUGAACUUUAUGGGGAGACCCUCAAUGCAGCACAAGCAAGAGCAACCUUUUUCAAGUGCCGACAGAACCCUGAGGAGAAGGUGGGGGACUUCAUUCUCCGGCUGAGGGAAUGCCAUGCCAAGUCGGACAGCUUGACCGACAGGCCGCAGGGGAGGAAGACGAGGCACCGCUGGACCAAUUUGUGCUGGGCAUGAAGGCGGAUUUGGUGAGGACAGAACUACGGCUCUAUCUGCGUCGACAGCCUCUCCAAGGUUUCAAGGCAGUGACUGCAGAAGCCCGGGCCCUAGAAGAGCUGGGAAGUAGAACCGAGGAGGUGCAGGCAAGCGCUGCCUGUGUAACAACCAGGAUGGAAGGGAGGGAGGAACCAACCGGACCGACCCACAAACCGACGGAUAACUGGACGGAAGAACUUCCCCGCGAGCUGGAACAAGGACUGUCAGAGCAGGUGAAGGCCCUGGGCUCACAGUUAACGGAGCAGAUGCGAGGACAUGCUGCCUCUAACCGCCGACCAGGGGACGACCCCCGGGGACAACCACGAGAUCGUACGACACCCCCUCCAACCCAGGCAGGCUCUAACCAGGCAAUGAGUUACCAGUGAGACUCGCAAGGUCGACCAAUCUGCUUGGAUUGCAGAGAGACUGGUCAUGUGCGAAGGAAUUGCCCCAAGCGGCAGCGGCCCUCGACGGGUUUUCAGAACCCCCCCACUACAGCGGGCCGGCCGGUUGGGGUGGUGAAGGACAUCUCAGCUUCCUCUCUGGAGGUUAAUGGCCAAAUAAUACCUUGUUUGCUCGACACUGGUUCACAGGUGACCCUGAUGAGCCAGACACUGUUUAGACAGCGCUUGGGAAAUGUGGAGUUGGAAGUGGGAGACGCUGGUUGUCAUUGAAAGCUGCAAAUGGUCUGCAAAUCCCAUAUAUUGGCUAUGCCUUACUAGAUUUUAAGGUGGGUGGUGUUCAGCUGCAUAAUAAAGGAGUGGGCAUGGCCUCCAUCCGGGAGAACCAGCUUUCCAGUCCCAGUUUCAACCUCGAGCAGAGCGGGAGUGGGGGAAAGUAUUUGCUGUCUGUCAACAGCCAGCAUGGGGGCCAGCCCGCCUUUCCAAGGACAUGUAAGACUUCCAAAGUCAGAGACAUUGUGGUUCCUGCAGAAUCGGAACUCUUGGUGUGGGGCCGGACGAGCGAAGAUUCAUCCCCCUCAGGGCGUACCCUAUUGGUUGAACCCUUAUCCCAGCAUGAUGUAGAAUGGUGAGUGGGGAGGGCCUUAGUCACCACGAGGGGGGUUAUGUGCCAAUUCGCCUGUGUAACCCCCACCCUUAUGUCGUCGAUAUUUCUCCCAGAACAGUCCUUGCUGAACUCCACGGGGUGUCAGCAGAAGAUGUCCAAACACAACGGGUGCUUCACCUGCACGGGGCGGAGACCGGGACUGUCGAGGUCGCCAUCCAUAGCAUCGAGGCCCUCCAGCCAGGUGACUUCGCAACAUCCCAAAUGCUAGGUGACAGUUUGACUGCGGAACAACAACAUAGAGUGAAAGACCGGAUGAGCCAGUGGAGUGCUGUGUUUGCGCAGCACGAGGACCCUUAUUCAUCACUGCAGCACUGAGCUCAAACACACACUGAGACCAACUGUGGGCAGUGAAAGGUCCACAGAGGAGGUUGGAGGUGGUAACUGUCUCACCCAACACCACCUGCCGUGCAAGUUCUAAGCACCUUCGUAACAACUGCACGUCUUCAUAUUUCAAAUGAAUCAAACCGUUUUAAGAACUGGAAUUGAACUACAGAUUCAGACGUAACAAAGAAUCCCUCUCAUUCCACAACCCGACUCACCCAACGGAGGCCCAGACGCCACCAUGCUCUUUAGCUCCGCUUGAACCACAGGAGGCGCUGUCUUGAGUUUGGCGGCGGCGUGGUCGAAGAAAAGUUCCACCGUCACCCCGUCCAGCAUGGGAAACAGCGUCUGACUGUGCACUGUUCUGGCCGUUUUCCGACGGUCGUUGCACUUUGUGCAUAUCCUUUUCGACAAAGAAAUCCACCAAAAAAACUCACGUACAAUAGAUUAGGUAAACCAUCAGUUAUGGACAGACACAAGUAAAUACCAAAAAGACUAUGUUUUGUUAUGGGUUGUGUUAGUUAAUGGGAGACACAUGUUCAUAAGUGUUUGCGCUAGAGUUAGAAAAUGGGAAAAAUGAUACAUGAUAGUGUGAGUCCAUAUGUUUGUUGAUCAAGAAAGCACUAGAAUGCAGACCACUUACAUUUUGAAUAAUACUGGGACAUAUGUGAAACAUAUAGUAUGUAUUGCAUGUGGGUGGGUGUGUUGGGUUAUGCGGUAGAUAUAAGGUUUUCAUUCCAGGAUACGUAGCCGCGUGAAUAGUGGACUAGCACUUCAGAUAUCGCCUGGCCAGUGAUGUCUGCUGCUAACACGAGACAUAAGAGGGAGAUGAAUGUUAUGUGAAUGACUGUUGUUGUACAGAGAGUGUCCUGAAUGACUCCCGUAGAACCUACUGUCAUAACGCGUGUUAAGAACACAAGUACUCUUUGUGAAUCUGUAAUGUCGGGUCAACAUUCAUUUUGGAGGGGAGAGUGUGGGGUCCCCAGGAUGGAUAUGCUAUAGUAAAGGGACACCCCCCUAUAUUCCAUUAUUUAUGUAUUGGAUUUUCUAAUUAUUUGUUGAUUUAAACUUACUUUGGUUCUUUUGCAAAGCAUUAGUAUUUAUAUGUGUUGGUAAGGGAACAGGCACUAAGGUGACCUAAGGGGUCCUUGUUUCGGGAGACAACGGGGAGAUGUUUUCGCGCGCUUGGAAAAAAGUAAGGAAAAGAGAAAGAAGAAGAUAGAGCGGAAAAAGAGUGUACCUGUAACUUGGCGCUGAUGCGCACUUCUUACCUGUUUUCACGGAGGAAUAAAGAUUUUCUUAAAACUAACGCACGCCUGGGUGUCACGAAUGUCCAUGUGUGCUACAAAUACACACUCAUGUAAAACUCAGAAACAGCAAAGAACUAGUGAAACAUAAUCAGUGAUUAUGAAAAAAAUAGAAUAGAUAUCAACAAGCAGUUUCUUUCAUAGAAUAGUUGAGACUUGUGUCAACAUUUGAAAGUUGAAAUGGUGUCUGUAGCUGAAAGAUUGGCGAAGCUGAAGAAUCUGAAAGUUAAAGAAGUUUAAGAGGAUUUGAAAAACGAUCUCCAUUGGAAAACAUGUUAAAAUAUUAAUGAUUAUUGAUUUAUAUAAAUUCAAGCUUAAGAGGUAGAAAGCUGAAAAGUCAUAGCACCCCUCCCGGGAAAGAGCUGAAUAUUUUAACAUUUGAACGGUUUUAAUAGCUGAAAGUGUGAAGGAGUUGAAAGGUGGCGCAGAAGAAAUAGAAUAAGUUAAAUAAAGAUUUGAAGAACAAUACUUGGAAUGCUUAAUGCAUUCCAACAAUUACAAGUGUAUCAAGCUGCUGGAAAGGAGGGGUUUCAGCCGAGUGGGAAGCGGUCGGGAUGAGGAUCACCACCUCUAAGUCUCAGGCUAUGGUUCUAGGACCCACAGGAUUAUGUGUCCAACCAGCUACAUCAGCACAUGUGUGGAGAACAUUGUGCCUACAAAGCGCUGAAAGACGUAACCGAACCAAAAACCCUGACUUAACUGUGAAGUUUGAUCGGCCCACGCUACGUGCCGGCUCCACAGUAUUUGUCACGAACACCACCACAAAUUCCAGCCAACUUUCUCAGAGAUUCACGAUUUGUACUUAUAUAUUAUAUACUCAAUUAAUGUCUUUCGACCCAAAAACAAACCUUGGAAAAAAAAAAUUCUGUAACAGUGUAAUGCAAAUUCAAACUAGUAGGGGCAGCGAAGAAAAGUAGUUAAAAUAUUUUUAAGCAGGACCACGUAGGCAGACCGAACAAACUGGUUGAGAACGGGGAAGACAGACCGCAGGAGCUUGUUGAGUAGACGGGUCUCAGCUAUGCAGAUUGUAAGAGCCAUAUUGAGCUGUAUUUUAUUUUUCUUUCUUGUGAAUAGUAUCGAGUGUGUGUGUGUGACGAGUGAGUGAGUAAUAUGGCACAGGGCUGUAUACCCCACCGAGAGGGUUGGGAUGCUGAAAUUGGAGCCCAAGGAAAGGCUUUAAAAGACAGGAAGACACGGCAGUGGGUGUGGCCUGAGAGGAAAACAGUCUUACCAUGUGGUGGAGUGACAUGAGGAACCAUAUCCCACCGUAUAAGAAACUGCUUUAGUUUAAUUGUUUAUUAUUUUUACCUCAUGUUUUUGGUUUGUAAAUUCUUCAUAUCAAGAGCAAUAAAUGGUCAUUGCACCGAACCGGGUCACCUUCUACUCCUCAUCUUUACAUACUGCACGCGUCAGGAUAUAUCCAGCUGAGCCAACGUUAGUAGCUGAUCAGGGAGUAAAGGGACGAAAGAAAAAGGCUUCUACACAGAUUGAUCAGGAAGUGUGAAUGGAGUGACACACCAGAUAAACCUCUUUCGGUUAACCUAUGUACGUGUUUAAGUGGUUGUUAAAAAAUCUUAAUGAUCUAAUUUACAGAAGUUCAAUACAGUUGAUCAAAGACAAUGGAAUCCAUGAGUACAAUGCCAAUGACAUGCACUUAAAAUGAAAUGAAUAGUUCAUCACAAAAUUCUCCUGGUAGUAUCAAUAGUAAAAGCAUGUGUAUUCAUUUUAAUGAUAAAUUGCUUAAUUGACCUUUUAUAGUGGACUUCGGGGUCUUUUCAUUUUCCUCUGUGCCAUUUAGAGUUUACAGUGUUACAGGAAGGCUGGCGAGUGGCAUUUACAGACAUGAUGGUAUUUCAUGGAUCAGAUAAUUAAUGUCACGACUUCUAACUGUAACAGGAUGACACAGAGGAUGGUGAAUAAAUGGCAGCGCAGCAGUUCCAAAGGCAGAGGGUGUCUUUGGAGACAUUUUAAUCAGUCCAUCAAAGAAACAAAAAAAAACACUCCGGUCAUUCCAGCAGUCAGCAAAAACCUAGACACAACACACUGUCUUCCCCCGCUACUCCCUUCAUCCUUCUUAAGUAGCCCCUUGACGACAUGAGGUCCAGGUGUGUCUCCUGGCACACCUGAUCUUGAUGAGCUUCUGACGCUCGUUUAGGUGGCCUGCCUUCCGGAUAUAUCUCCCCUCCACCACUCUGCCCCUCAGCUCUUCAGCUGAACUAGAACUGCUGUGCGUGUACAUUUGGGUCCACUGACUACACCACCACCAAAAACCCCAGACAAAUGCAGAGUCGUUAAUAGAGAACCAGUGUUGGAGCAUCUCUGGGUACACACUUUUGGCAUCUCUGACAGCUUUACCUAACCUGUGUUCUGACUGUUCAUACAAGUACCUGUGCCCACUCCUAAACGCCUGAUCCUUAAGCAACUGUAGCUAUCGGAGUCCAGCUGUAAAACAGGGUUUGUCAUUGCUGUAACUCAACUUGGUGGAUGCUGUCUUCACAGAAGCUGAUGUAUUCAUUCAUCCACAUACUCAUCCAGACUGCUGGCAGCAGUCCUGAAAAUAUCCAAAUCCCUACAGUCCAGACCCGCCUGAAGGUGCUUCACUGCGUGAAUACUUCUGGGAGCAUGAGGUGAUUUCUUAACCCCACAGAUUGUGCAACUCUUCCAGGGGCACAUCAACAGGAGUCGUUGCAGAUUGGAUGUGUUUCCCAGCAAAAUCUCCAAAACAUGGAAAUUCCAGGAGACAUGCAGUUACUCUGCGAGAGCUGGACAGGACCGUAGAAGAACUGUAGUGUGACUCACUGCCCAGCACGGUGGAGCUUGAUUGGCCUUUGCUUGGCAUGUCCGCCACUGGCGCCCAGUGCUUUUUACAGAUGUGAGCAGGUUCACCCUGAGCAUCUUUCAUAGGGAGAAGCCAAGAACACUAUGGCGCCUGCCUAUUUCCAUCAAAAGAGGUGGCAUUCUUUCGUUCCUCAGACAUUGAACCGUCUAUAUUAGUAUAGGUAUCCAAAAUACUUAUCGAUCUGAUGUGUGUGUGUGUGUGUGUGUGUUCCUAAAUUUGGGUAGCGGCUAAGUUAUGAUAGUGGGUCCUGCAGCCAGACAAGUUGAGAAACACUGCUUUGGAAAAUUAACAUUGGCUGCGAAAAAGCAGUUACCUUUCUUCUCCAUUUUUUUUCUCUCUAUCGUUUUGUUUUAAUGAUCAUUAGGACAAAUGAAUGCAAAUAUCCUAGCGUGGACAUAUUAUGUCGUUUGAGACUCCUUGUCUAAAACCAAUCAACCAUCGGAGAGAGAAAUUGUGGGCUGUCAGUAUGUUUGUGUGUAUUUUUUUAAGUUCUUGUAGGCAUAUUGCUGUGCUGGUUAUGUGUGUCAGUGUGAGAUAGGUGAGUGUGUUUGAAUAAUAACUGUGUUUUUCUCCUGAGGGGCUCCACCAAGCCGGAAAAAAAUAAAAAUAAAAUAUUAAUGUUCAAUCACUGCGUUGGGACCACUGACACACGCGCCCCACACACACCAGACACGCUGGAAAAUCACCAGAACAAUACCAGGCAGACUCUGUAUUGUUGCAGUGUAUUUGCGAGAGCCCCCCUGACGAUACGCCCCUUACUAAGCAGCUGUAAGCAGAUGCUGCUAGCCUGAAUGUAAGAGAAGCAGGCUUGUGAGUGAAUCCAAUUCUACGCUGUCCUUAAGCUAGGCAGUGCGAGUGAUUUACUGGUUAUUAGUCUGAGGUAGUUUUAGAGAUCAUUUUUUGGUCUCUGAAGCACCCGUAAUAUUUCUUUGGUUGAGUGUUGUGUGUGGGUGUGUGUGUAAUAUUCCUGUGCAACAUGUCAACUCGCAAUGCACCUUUUUAAUCAGCCUUUCUUUCCUACUCUACGACUACGUGGAGUACGGAAUGACCGUCGGGCCGAGAUCUGGCAGGUCACUUUGAACAUAUCAACACAGAAGAACCCAACAGUUUUAUCUAUUGACAAUUACAACGCAAUUAUUGUACAGACCAGACAACAUGUAUCCUUACCAAUGUUGAAACAAAAAGAAAAGAAAGAGAGAAGAAAAGAAAUAUGAACCUGGAAAUUCCAGUUUCAAAGUGUCUUUUCAGUUUAAGAUACUUCAACAACAAGCAACAAAAUUUAACUAAACCGCUUUGUGGAUAAUCAUGGUCUCCAUGGUAUGAAUGACUCUCCUUUCAAUUAUUCAACUAGCAAACAUCAUAUAUAAUCUAAUGGCACACAUUUAGGCCCUCUUCAUGAAUUUAAUUUGGAAAAGAUGAAAUGUAUAAUACACAUGGUAUCACACAAUCUAAUAACGAAACAAUGUCUUUGAAACAUGUUAUGUUUUUUAAAUUUGGUUGAACUCACGUAUCUAACAAUUUAGUAAUUAUUUACACUUCUCAGUCAAACUAGUUCCAUCUUAUUAUCAGCAUUAUGGAUGAUAAUGAUAAUCACCAUCAUCAACAUAAUUGUUCAUUCCUAUAAUUGCAAACCCAAGGCUCCUAAGCAAGCAAGCAAGCAAGCAUGCACGCACAGACACACGCGCACACACACACAGACAAAGAUAUAUACAGUGAAAAAGUGAAAGGAGCUCAUCUAUUAUUACCCCUUGCUGGCUGUCCCCUUUGGGGAAUGGACCAGUCCCUUGUUACCAACUGACAUCUCUCCCAUGGGUUUCUAAUGGUACACACACACACACGCACACACACAGACACUCACCUGUUUCCCAAGUCAAUUCCCAGGGAGCUGUCAGACUAUCCGUCGACAAAGACCAAUACCACCUGAAUGUGUGUGUGCAUGGAUAGGUGCGUGUGUGUCUAAAUGUUGUCUAAAUAUGACACAGAACUAGUUGGGACAUUUCUUGAUCCCUCGGACACAUUCUUGGGGUCAGUGGACAGUUAUUUUUUUGGAAAAUAUAUAAAAAGAAUUUAUAGAAAGAUUUUUUUAUUGUCCUUUGGCCUGCUGCUAGUGUGAUUGGCAGAAGUCCUCCGGGGCAGAGAAAAUAGUCACACCAAACAUGAGUUUAGGUCUUAUGUGUGUGUCUAUGAUCGACACAUUUCCGCAAGGCAUUAUUGACAUGGAUAUUGUUAUAAUGUUAUAAUUAUGCAUGAAUAUGACAAAAAGAAAAUGAAUGUUUUGGGCGUUAUGCCCAAUAUAGUGCAUUAAGUUAAUUUGUUUUCACCAAAUUCACC